This is a long non-coding RNA of Etheostoma cragini (Arkansas darter), 287 nucleotides long. RefSeq lists it as uncharacterized. NCBI's taxonomy places the organism in Eukaryota, Metazoa, Chordata, Actinopteri, Perciformes, Percidae. The record is from RefSeq and is a predicted model, not a curated record. The transcript has 3 exons.
GACUGUAUUUUACUUUAGAGGAUUCUAACACCAGGACGUAACAAGGCAGGGAGCUGCCGUUGUCAGAAAAACACAGACGGUGCGUUCACAUGAAACUCGCAUGCCUUGUGGUGCAUUUUAAGUUAUUGUAAAAUACCCUUUUCCCAUCUGGUGCUUGUUUUUGUCAUUUACCAGCAAUGCACUUUUGAAAUAAGUUAUUGUUACUACUUUAUUAAUCAGUCAUUUAUUUUGACCAUAUGGCCUCAGCAAUAAACAAGCCGUUCUUUAAAGUCAGGAACUGUUGUUUA